RNAcentral lists this long non-coding RNA (41011 nucleotides) under Panicum hallii. Its description in RNAcentral is "long non-coding RNA (PHAL_LNC000748)". Lineage: Eukaryota; Viridiplantae; Streptophyta; Magnoliopsida; Poales; Poaceae. The record is from RNAcentral.
GGGAGCCCAGCGACUCCGACCCGGUGGGAGUGGGACUGGAAAGAGGGAAAGAAUGGCCGCCGCGUCCGCGUGGCUGUGGGGAGAUGGGCCGACUGGGCCGUUCUUCCAACUCAUUUCUUCUUGUUUGCUCCGUGUUUUUUCUUUUUUUUUUGUGAUGAGAAGGAAGUUGGCCUCAGCAUUGCGUUUGUUUUGGGAAAAUGGCACGAAUAGCACUCCAAUCAAACGCUGUCCAUUCUACCUCUAGAAUGUUUUAGACCUAACCUUUCCCACGGUUCGUCAAUGCUAGGCUCGCCGAUGUUCUUGGAAGCUUGCACGUAGUAUAUAAACCCUUGGUCGACGAAAAAGCUCAUGUCCCUAUCGCGUUGAACUGGCCACGUUGGCACGUCGCGUCCUUGGACUCCCCGAGCACAUCCACACCACAGUGCGUGGACACACACUGCAACCAAAUUUGGUGACCGAAUGAGGCAUAUGGAUGAUUAUCAAAAAAAAAUUAUUACCAAAGUUACGAGUUCCAUUUUGUUUUCUCGGGAAGUUAUACAACUAGAACACUCGGCGCGCCAUGCGCGCCCUACCAUUUGAACAAUCAAAUGCAAAUAACCAUAAGGCAACAAAAAACGACAAAAUAUAUAUAAAUGUGAGAAGAGAAAAUCAUGUAGAUAUUCUAUGGCAAUUUGGAAAAAAAACAACAAAUGUGAAUAAAAGCAUGAAAAUUCAUCACAAGAACAAAUUCAUAGUAGAUUAUACAGUCAGUUUUAUUUUGCAGAGCGGACCAAUCGGUACCGGCAUGAUCUGUCAGUAUUGAUAUCAGUAAACACAGUGAGCAGACGUGACCUUAAACUAUAUAACUAUAGAAGUUGAUGAUAACUAAUCUUCAAUCAUUGACAUCAAGUCUUUGCACCGCGUUGCACGACACAUACAAGAUAAGGCAGUAACAACUUCAAGCCUAAGCCGUAGUAGGCAGCAACGACGGAUACUUAUCCUUGCACUUGGAAGUGACCUAAAAAUUAGUAACCACACCUCUUAAUCAUAUGUAUUAAAUAGAGAAUUGAGAGCGAGUCAUCUAUUUUCUAGAAAAUUUGACAACAAGCCAGGACCAUAAUCUCUAUACAUGUCUAUGUAACGACACUAUUUUAGAUGCAAUGUUACAUGUUCUUUGUAAGCAUAUAAAGCAAGUAUGCCAAACAAGUAAAACGAAGAUCUUCUACGAAGCAGGGAAACUUAAUUUAACUUUGUAGUGCGAAGUUCUUCACCACAAUGACCUAGGCAAGAAGCAGGAAAGCUAGGAAAAAGCGGUAGUUAGCUGAUAUUAACAAAAGAUGCAAUAAAGAACUAAUCACAUCGAAAAAGCCAUUAUAGGAUUAUCAAAUAAUUUUCUCACAAAGCGUAAGCUACUUCUUUAACAGCAUCAGAGACAUUACAUUUCUGUUGUAUCUGUUUGGCAUAACUAUAUGACUUAUCAGUACUGAGGUGAACUGCUUUAUGUAGUAAUCUUCUUUCCCUACAUUAUUAUGUUUCGGAUACUCACUUUCUAGACAUUUGUGCACUCUUUCACUUUUCUUCCAAAGUUCAAGUAAAAAAUCAACUGGAGCUAUGAAUCAAUACCACUACUGUUUUGAUCACAAGGUUACCAUGAUUUGAUUAAUAAAUAUCGAUGAAUGCCCAUGAAGGGUAAUUGAAAAAAAAUAUAAUUUUUCUUGGAAAUCUGAAAAAAGGAAGAAAAUAACUCCCUACAUGCUUAUCACAGAUCAAGAAUGCUAAACUAAAAUGGCAGACAAAAAUCAUAUAAUAUAGAAGAAAGUAGAUUCAGACCAAAUUUCUUUUCGCAAACAUGAAUCUUAUAGAAAAAGAAAAAAUAUCCGAUGCUAAUUUUCAGAGAGAUAUAUUAAGCUGCACUUCGCAGCACGACAAGCUAAAUCUGAUGUAUAACCAAUGCCAUCUUGGCGGUUGGUGAGCCUGAGGAUAUUAUAGACAACACUACUCUUCAAUUUGCAAACAAGCCAACACAUUAGCAAAUGGUACCGCUAGGCAGUCGACGCAAAUGACAUUUCAGUCUUCUAGGUGUCGUGCUAACAUCAGAUUGCUCUUAUUUUGUUGCAACAUAGAUUGACGGGACAAUCAUAGCAUGCCAGCAAGUGGAGGACCAACUCGCAUGACAUAUUUGUUUCAAUCAUUUUCUGCUAGAGAAAGUAUACCAGGCAGGAAAAAAUAACUAGGAUAUCAAUAUCAACAUCUUAGAAGGCACUGAUGAAAAAUACACAUCACAUGUACGUGUCUUUGCACUGUUUUUCAUAAUUCUAAAUUGAAUGGCAAAUUAUUUUGACUUUCUGAAACCCUUACCAUGGUGUGUCCGACGAUGCAUGCACAUAGCAAUUGUUCUGACAAUUACCAAGGCAUGAUGCAGCAAAUUUUACAUCCUGCCAUUUUCCUUUCUGUCAUCUCGACAUGGAGAUGCAAGCAUCUCAAUCCGGAGGAGCUGAAUACGUGUUUACCUCCUCCGAUGCUACCUAACCUGCUCUCGCUCGCCUUCCUGCUCCGGCUAGAGGAGCUCGAUUCAAGGGAGGAGAGGCUAGUUCAAUGCAGGGAGAGCUUGAUUCGUGACUCGGUGAGGUCGAUUUGAUGGAAGAGGAGCUUAAUCCAUGGUUCACUGAGGUCAAUUCAAGGGAGUAGGAGCUCGAUUCUCCGCUUGGCGAGGUCGAUUUAAAGGAGGAGGAGCUCGAUUUGAGUAAGAAGAGCUCGAUUCAAGACCCAAUAAGGUCAAUUCGAGGCGGAAGGAACCUGAUUCGUGAUUCGUUGUUUGUUGAUGGUGCUGCCAAUGCACGCGCCUCGCUGGCCGUGCUGCUGGUCCUCCAGCACACCUGUCCCGCGCACGCCUCCUGGCCUACGCCGUGCCGCUACUGCAAGGCCAUGCCGCGGCCUUUGCUCCUGCUACCCAUGGAGCCGAGCCCGCGCGGGACCGGCACUGCUGCCGGCUGCUGCUCCUCCUUCUCGCAUGCGCGGCGCGGACGUUGCUGGCCACGCCACUAUCUCCCGCGAGCAGGCCCGUGCCACGCGGAGGGGUGAGGGGUGGGGAGGGACGCCGCUAUGAAGAAGGCGACGGGAGAGAGAAGAGAGGAGGUGCCGCCGAGGUACAGAGAGAGGGGAGGCGACGGGGUUGGGGAGAGUGGUGGAGUGGAUCCCGCGGGAGUGGGUGGCGGCGGCGGAGAGCAGGAGGAACGGCGGUGGAGAGGGGCGACGGAGGUAGGCGCAGUGGAGAAGGGGAGGAGGGGAGGCGGCAGCGGGGAGGCAGAGAGGAGAGAGGAGGGAGAGGGCGGCGGUGGGGAGCAGGAGAGGGAGGGAGUGGGCGGCGGGGAGCGGGGAGGAGAGCGAUAGGGGUUAGGGUUCGGGGCUGCGGGAGGGGGUAAAUGUAAAAGUGCGCUGCAGGAGGAUUUUUUAAACAUGAUAUGAUUAUCUAAUUUCUUCUUCUUUGUGUCAAAAUAAACAUUAGCUUGAGGAUCUAUGUGAAAAAUGUAUGAGCGCGGUUGCUAUACGGUCCGGACGAGCUAGGUUUAGUUUUAAUUUGUAGAAAUUUAGAGAGCUUUUUUGCAAAAUAGUCAAAGUAAAGGCUGAGCGACACAUGUCACCUUUUUCCCCUUAAGUGUGGACGGGAGGGCAAAGCCCAGCAGCUUUUAAUCAAACUGAUUCUUAGGGGAAAAAAAUAUGGUUAUGAUAUUUUUUCAAUCCAUAUUUCUGAAUUCUGAUGGUAAGUUUCUUUGGUAUUUAUCGAUCACACUGGUUAGCAUGGUAGGCAUACACCUGUCAAAAAAAAAUUUCUUGUUCUAAUCAUUUCAAUGACAAGGUUAUACCAGUUCUCUUUAUAAGCUAAGGGUAAUCGUUCCUGUUUUGCAAAUACAUGCACAUACCCCGUCUUGGUUGAACGUGUCCCUUCGAUGCAAAAUGCAACAAUCCUAUAAGAAAUAGAAUAAAUGUUAUUGGCCUACAAUUUUUGCCUGUGAUAGAGAGUAUGAUUAGUUAUACAAUAUGUUUGCUUGUUAAGCUUCUGCUUGGUGCUGGCUCCUUUUAUAUAAUCUUUUUUCAUCUCUAAUAGAAGCUGCGAUGUUUUUUCCCUCCUAUUUUUCUUCCUUUUAGCGUUGUCGUCCAAUGAUCAGUAGGAGUAGGGUGUGUACUGUUCAAAAACUCUAAGAAGUCUCUACAUUUUUUUUGUCGAAGCUGAAUUAUAUAUUAUAUCAAAUAAUUUAUGAAAGUUUGGAACAAUGGUAUUCUAUAUCAUGGCAAUAUUGAUAUAUGAGGUUAUAAUUUUUACCGUCCGUAGGCAUGAACCUAGUAAAAUAUAAAUUAGAAAAAUAGAUAACUAAAUAAUAGAGAAUAGACAUAAGAAGAUAUAGAAGAGAUAAACAAGGACAAAUGCCACACCAUCUGCGGUUAAGCUGUAACUGGGAUCGUCAGGAAAUGCAAGCUAGUGACGUGAAUUGAUAACCCGUCAAGCCCUGGACCCAGCAAUUCCUCUACGCUCAUGUCGCCGGAUGGGUACUGCGGCUUCGCUCGUUGGUCGGCUUCGGCAGCGUCGGAACACGCCGGCGGCGGUGACGGUUUCUUCCUUGCUCCUUCAGGCACGGCGACGGUACCGAUGCCCUGGUGGCACGGUCACACACGACACAGCAUUUCCAGGCCGUGCCGGUUUGACACGGCUGAUUAGCGGUUACGGAACAGGCGGGUGCCCGUGUGCCCGUCCAGUUUCCGUCGCGUCGCUGCUACGCCUACUAGCGAAUCGUCCGUCGAAGUCAGAUCAGCCCCCCUUCUCCGUGCACAACCGGCAGGCUUAACGGCCCUGGCCCGUACGUACGGAGCUCGUUAAUCGCCACCCGACUCGGAUAAGAUAAUGACCCAGAUCCGCCUCUGCUGCUGGAUCCUCUUCCUGUUCAUCGCCAUGAGCUCCUGGCACCUGCCAUGCCCAUCCAUCAACUUAGCAGUAGUAGUACUAAUUAGUAAGCAAGCUCGUCUCUUCCCUUCCGGGUCCGUCGGGAAUGGCAUGACAGCAGCUGCAGUGCAAGACGACGCUAGCAUGAGGUACGAGCAGUAAGUAACACACCCCUGCUCACUACCUGAAGAACUCGACGACAUCUUUCGUCAGAGGACGCGUCGCAAACCUCUCUCCGAUCUGAAACCUACCUGCUGGGGACACGGCUCAGCUGGGCAGCCUGCAACGAACGGGGGCGAGGGCCAUCAAGGGUAUUGACUCCGCGCGAGCGCGUGGCAGGGGGAUGCAGGCAGUUUUGCGUGCCCGUCACGUGCCGCGGCGUCCGGCCCGGCCCGCCCUGUCUGUCGCCGGCCGGCCUUCCUUCCUCUGGCGCUUGGAGGCAGGGCAGCUGCCGUCGCCGAAAGCCGCUUUCCACCCUUCCUCCCCGCAGGCACCCCCCGGAAAUGGCAGCGGCGAGAGAUAAAUCCGCAGGGGGGAUGCAGGCCAGAGUUUCCGUUUCCGCAUCAUGAUGUCCUCCGAAAAUGAAAUUCCCUGUACUGCAUUGCCCCCUGCCCCUGUGGCUGUACCUCGUCCAACGGCACGAAAGCAGCAGGGCUACGCACGCACUACCGGACCGGACGGACGCGCAUACGCAUCCUGCAAAGGUUCGGCAAAGUCUAGCGAUACUACUGCUGUACAGCAACUUUAGCCGUUGUGGCUUGUGAGAUGGCACGCAGCCUAAAUUCAGUGCUCAGUGCUCCUAAAUUCAGUGCUCAACGCUCCUAAAUAAGUGGAGUGCUAGCAGGGUCAAGUACGGACUACGGAGUAUGGCAUUCUGCGCGACACUGUUGGUACUAGAGGUAGUAGUACGUGGUACCUCCCGUCUACCAUAAAGAUCCAAAAAAUUAAUGUUUUUUUGUAAAAAAAGAGAGAGAUAAAGUUAAUGUUAGGCCCCUACUGUCAACAGUGUUGUACUUCAGUACCUGUACCGCAGUACUCGGUGACAAUUCCAUGCCAAGUAUACGGCCGGGGAGACCGGUCUUGUCCCGGUCUCAGCAAGCCAACAUGUCGAUCGCACAGCGACGGCUCGGAUCUGCAACAGCAAUCGACCGGCCGGGCGGUGGCCCCCGCGCGCGCGCGAGCCUGGACGCGGACGGCGACGCCCGGCAAAUAAUUGCACGCGGGCGCAUCAUCUGAUCGGCGCCGGGCCGGCGGCCAGUUCAUCGCGAAAUCAAGUCCGGCAACGGUGGCAGGGGGGGGGGGGGCAGAUCUCGACGGGAAAGAUUGCGUCUUUGUCCAGCGUCGUCAACACUGACAACGAAUCGGAUGGGUGAUUUGCUCGCGCAGGUGAGGUGAUCUAUGAUCCAUCCAUUUGGCAGGGGCAAUUACUGAGCGUGCUAGUACCACUACCGCUGACAGUAGAAGCUAAUGACGCCACUGGAUGUUGCCAUUGGCAAAUCACAACCCUUAUUUAUUGGACACCCAGCUGCUGCUAGUAAUCUUUCCUUUUUUUUCCAGCAAAAUGGAUCUUCGAAGAUGAUACUAGCUUUUUUACUUGUAUGUUUCCUCUUUUUAUGUGUUGCAAAAACUUUGCAUUUCUGACAGUAAUUGUUUGUCUAUGUUGUAAGCGUUGCAAACUGUAGCAUUUUACUCGUAUGCAUUGCAAGAAAAAGUUUUGCGCCUCAUACUGCAAAUUUGGCCCGGAAAAGAAACUUCAUGUUGCAAACAGGACGUUGCUAGAUCACAUUACGUCUGCCCGCAAUAGUACGCCCCUUUCUUGAGGAAUUGCAUCUAUAUUCUACUAGUCCUUUUUUUUCUCUCUGCACGUGAAGCUACCACUUACCUAAAGAAAAAAGAAAAAAAAAGCACCAGUACUCCAGAAGGGAAUAGCUUAGCCCUCUUCUGUUGGUGCUGGCCUCCCCCACCAAAUCUUGACCGUACAUAAGCUGUAGUGCUAUGGAGAUGGACUGAAAUUACCCCGAUGGGGUUUUGAAUUGGAAAUGUGCAAACUUGAACUGAUUUUACUUUUUCAAAUAUUCAAAUGUAAAAUCAAAAGUUUAGAGCAAGAGGCUUAUUUUGGCUUCAAUUUAUGAUUGUUCUUAAGCUGAGAACUACUCCUUCCGUCCCAAAUUAUAGGUUAUUUUAGAUUUUUAGAUACAUAGUUUGUUUUAUACACCUACAUAUAUACAUAUAUUUAGAUACAAAGCAAAAAUUAUACAAUACAUAUAGCAAUGCUAAAAUAAUCUAUAAUUUGGAACGGAAGGAGUAAUAAAUUUUGAGUUCAAGAAUUCCUCAUGCUUCUCUCUUUAUUGUUUUUGAGCGACAUGCUUCUCCUUCUCAACGAUCGGACAGCACACCUGCUAGCUUCUUCCAAAAAAACAAAGAGUUCAAAGUUGAAAAUCGCCUGCUCAAGUUUUAUUCUAUCAAUUUACAUACAUAUUUUUCCAAUUUAUUACACAUCUCAAUAUUGCAAUUAGGGCAUUUUAACUUACAAUGCUCAGUAUAAGUGGCUGUAAAGCAUGAAAGUGUGACCUGUGGGUGAAUUGGGCAUGAAUGUUGCUUGCAAGGGGAAAAAACUGCUCGCUUGUGAGUAGAAUUAUUAUUUCUUUGGACCAUUGCAAAUUUGGGUCCCCAAAAAUUAUUGUCUGUGAAAGUAAAAAGUAACUUGGCAAUCUUACAUGUACCACCAGAACUGGCAAGAUUUGGGAAAAAAAUUCAACUUUUUCUUUCUUUCUUUUUGAGUUUCACAUUCCCAUCUGUCGGGACUCUUUUCAUGCGACACGCAUAAGAAAAGGAGAGACAGAUUUUUAUGGAUUUUUUUAUUUGACUAGAAUGUACAUGCAUGGAAUGUUAGAUCUCAGAUGAUCUUUUUUUUUAAGAAGUUGAUCUUUUAUUGAGAAACAAAAAAGAAAGGAGUAGCCUGAAAAAAGAAGUGGGAUGCUGGCUGCAAUUGGUUAAUAUCAAAUAACUACGAAAAAAACAAGUUUUUGCUGAAAAUCUGGAAGAGCAUUAAUUACCAUUGGAGGUGGUCGAUCAAUGUGUUCACCACUUCACCUCCACCUUUUGAAAAGGGAAAAAAAGGAUCACCUUUCUCUUGAUCUCUUGAUCGAGAAGACUCCCUCCAAUCGAUUCCCUUCUUGGUGUCAGUACUCACGAUAUCGUAUUACGCAAUCCACAAUCUUGCUAUGUACCAAAAAGAAAAGGAAGUCCACGAGGUUUUGUAUAUGACCCCUUUUUUUCUAGCCAAAACAAUUGACUUUUUCCACACGGAUGUGCUGCUAACAGUCCACCUCGUUUAUACAUAGAUCAAAUGGAAGAAAUAGAAGUGAAAGUUGCUCAAAAUUCAAACCUUUUCAGCGGCCUGGAGAUGCAAACAAAAAUAUGGGAUCGAUAACGAUAAUUUAUAUACAAGAGAUCAAACAAGAAACACUAUACUCAUAUCUCUAUCUCUUUCAAUCAACAGAAUAGCCUUGCUGUUCAUUUGGCAAGCGAAUCAAUACAAGGGGAAAAAAGAGCCACAAGAAAUCCAGAAAAGAAAAAAAAAGCAGGGAAAAGGAGAAGAAAGGGAAGCAGAAGGGAAUAGUAAUACUACACGCUCCUCUCUUCUCCUUCUCAUUCUUCUCCUCCACCUCGCCAUGCACGGGCCCACGCGAGCGAGAUCAGCUCGCGCGCCCCGGUGAUGGCAGCAAUGGACGCCGCGCCGGCCGGCCGGCCAAGCCACGAGCCCACGACACGCGCAGUAGAAAUGGCUGCAGCUUAAUAAGAAGCUACUGUAGCGAGGAACGGUGCUCAUCUGUUGUGCAGCGGGUUGGGCCCCGUGGGCACGCGGCGCUUGUCCUCGUCGACCAGCUCGUCGCCGCCGCCGGCGCGCCACCGCCGUCCAAGCCCGAUGCUGACGAGGCCGACGACCACGACGUCGAACGCGCUCGGCCUCCCGCCGUCAGCGGCCGCGGCCGCCUUGCCGCUGCCGCCGGGCACCGCGCGCGACUCGGCGGCGCACGCGGCCGCGAGGAGCACUAAGCACGCGACCAGCGCCGCGCGAGACCACCGCCUCGCCCUCAUGCCGCCGCACACGGCACGCGCAAGAUCAGGGCCGGCCGACAGCUACGGCGACGACCGAUGACGCUGCGGCGCGGCGCUGAAGGCUUGACGAGAAAGCAAGCGAAGGUCUUUAACGUGCGGAUCGAGCUAGCUAGGGGCGUUGGGGAAGAGGCCGGGGGAGCCGGAGCCCGGAUGCAGCGGCUAGACGGGCAACACUGGAGUGGUAGAGUGGAGUCAAAGCGGGUAAAGGCUCGGAGCUGCAGGUAGCUGGAGGUUCUCGCUGCUGCAAAACUGCAAAGGGGUUUUAUGUAGGUGGGGAGGCGGCCGGUGUGGGGUGCGCGCCCGCCCGUCGCCCCAUGCGCGGGGCUCCACAUGCGCAGCGAGAGAGAGGGAGGCCGGAGGGGCAAGGCGCAGAGGGCAGCUAGGGGCCAGUGGGGGGAUGCCACCAAACCGCAUUGAAGGAUCUUCAAUUCUCUGCGCCUCCCUGCCACUGUCCGUCUCAGCACCCCCCAGCCCAGCCGUGGGGAAGAGAGAGAGAGAGAGAGAGAGAGAGAGAGAGAGAGAGAGAGAGAGAGAGAGAGAGAGAGAGAGAGAGAGAGAGAGAGAGCAGGAAACGCCCACACCCAGGCCACUUUGCACAGAGCAAAAAGGUGCGGAGGAGAUGGAAAGUUUGGUGAGCAGGGGCCCAACGCACAGAGUGACACACACCCGGCCGCGCUUCGUUGCUGUCCCCCGCCCCCACCCCCCCCCCCCCCCGUCCCCCCACAAUGCAAGGACCGUGGAUUAUUUGCUUCGGAAAGCUACCUAGCUUCAUCCACCCACGUUUUCCUUUAGCUUGACACCACGGUGAAACCGCAACAACCAUGCACGCAGUACUCCAUGUCACAACAAGCUAGUUACCCCAAUUUUCUCCUGCAAUCUGCUAGUACUUAGGUUAAUGUGAUCGCUCGCUGGAAAAGGCCAAUGGAGAUGCAUGCGACGCUUGCAGGUCAGGUGCCUGAACAGUGUUGUUGUACGCGCUCAUGGUGGUUGCAUUGCAGCAGCAGCUUCGUCGUCGACGAGUCCUGUAUUAUUUGAAGGGAGCGAGGAGCGUAGCCAAGUCAGUCAAUGCGGCAACUGUAGUUCCAUUUGGUCAGGCAGAGUCUCGAGUGCGCGCCAUAACUUGCGUUGCGCGCAGGCAGAACGAGCUGGUGAUCCGCGCGGUCAAGACCCCUUUCGAGAGCGCCCCCCUGCUGCAGGCUGCCCCGUAGUAGUCGCCGCAGCGUCCAUGCCCCUGCCCUUUUAGACGAUCGCCAAUAAAUACACACCAUACAGGCAUGCAGCAUCAUGGCUCAUAAAUGGAGACAAGGAUAGAGAGAGAGAGAGAGGGGGGGGGGGAUGAACAUCUAUCUGCAGGGUUUACGUUACGACCACGGCCCGCCGCCCGGUUAGUAGUAUUUUGCUUCUCGUACAAGUUUUGCUUGCUUGUAGGGUUGACGACGAUCGAGGGGAGAGAGAGAAGGGGGGGGGGGGGGGAAUACAUGCAUGCAUGGAUCAAGUAUGGACAGGAGAGAGUAUGUGUGGAGUGUAGAGGUAGAGCAACUGAUCGAGCAAGAACUCGAAGCAAACAUAGAGCUCCGAGAAAGGGUAGUGAGAUGCUAGCUGGAUAUACAAGGAGCACUGGAUGGAACUUAGCAACAAGUAAGCAAGCAUAAGGGGACAAGAAAGAAAGGGUGAGCAAAAGAUGGGAGCCGAGAGGAAGGGUUGCACGAGCCGAGAGCGACAAGAGAGAGGAAGAGAGGGAGCUCGAGGAAGGAAAACCAUCUUCCCUCUCCUCCUCCUCCGGGUUGUUCCUGCAGCGUACACCUCUCUCUCUCUCUAGCCAUCUCUAUGGAUCGGGCUGUACGUGACACACUCGCCAGAUGGGGAGCAAGGACAUGUCGUCGCCAACCACCCCCACGCAGACCGAGACAUAGAGCUCUGGCCGAUGGGCCCUACGACUCUUGGGCACAGCUACACUGAUGGCGCAGUGCAGGGUCUCCUCCUGUACUUGGCACUUGCUGUACAGUUGUACAGUGUACAGAUGGAAAUUCGUAGGGCGUCGUCUCUCCAGCAAGUACUAGGUUCAUCGUCUAGCCACGCUAGCUGCCCAUGCAUGCAUGUCAGUGGGUCGGAGUCGAGCUAGGUCAGACUAGCAGCUUGCUAGAUAGUAGAUAGGCUUGUGCUGCUAUUAGCUUGCCUGAUCCUACAAAAUGGUAGUGGACUGGUGGUAGCUAGUGGAUCGGACUAAGUGGAGCAACAUUUUUAUGUUGGAGUUCAUUCUGUGGCUUGAUCCGUUGACUCCGAUCCAGUAGUGGUUCAACAAGAUCACUUACACGUCAUGUCCUGCUACAGCUAGUACCGUUGAGCUGUAGCGACGCAUCUUCAGCUAAUCCGCGACAUCAAUCUGGAUAAAACAUGGGGCUCAGAAUUUCUAAUCAUGUCCGAUCCGUACUGGAUAAUGAGCCAUGACUCUGGUCGCCACACUCUGCUGAUCCUUUUGAAGGACAUCAAGGCCCCAGAUACACGAACCUAGGGGGUUUAGCCAUGAUCGACGAGUAUUACUAGCAGAGAAACCCGCAGCAGCAGUGGUAUGAUAGUUCUGCCGGCCGCUGCUGGUUGCCAAAUUAUGGUAGUACCGCCACUCAUUCUGCUUGCUUUGAUUUACGUUGGGCCCUGGCCUAGCAAAUCUUUUGGUUAAAGGCUCACCUUUAGUUAUGGCGAUGCUUAACUCGAAUGGCCAGAUUUUAAUCAACCCUUUCCCUCGCUCUCUUUUUAUCCAACACUAGUACAGAAUAUGUCAUUAGUCCAGGUUGAGAAAUCCCCUGUAGUCAUGAUUUCCCAACCGGAACGGCCAAUCUGAAACUAAAGGCCUUGGCCUACUAAGAGUUCGGCAACGCUAAAAAAAUAAUUGGCAAGCACAAUCAAUCCUGCGAUCCGCAGGAAUCGAAUUCAAGAUCUCCUGCCUCGCAUACAGUUCCUUAUCACCCCACCUACACAGCUUAUGUGACUCUAGAUGGGAUGCUUCCUUUCAAACUGACCCAUGAAGAACCCUUUAGUCCCGUUUAGUAACAUCAACCGGGACUAUAUGCGGGACUAAAAGGUGAUUCUUUAGUUCCAGUUGGUGUCAUCAUCCGGGACUAAAGAGGAACUUUUAGUCCCGGUUGGUGGCUCCAACCGGGACUAAAGGUCCCCGUCCCCCUAGCCGUUGGACCCGGGUAAUGCUUUCAUUAGUCCCGAUCCCAACCCCGGCCGGAAUUAAAGAGGGUGGAUGUAUGUACUGUUCUGUACUAGUGCAAGUAACUGCUGUAACUUUGACAUUUCUCUAACUUGGACAAAAAAUAAUAUAUUAUCAUCUCUAAUACUAUCUCCAUCCCAAAUUACAAUUAAUUUUGGCUUUUCUAGAUACAUAUAUUUUUCUAUGCAUCUAGAUGUACACUGUGUCCAGAUACAUAGCAAAAAUUAUGUAUCUAAUAAAGUCAAAAUGAAUUGUAAUCUGGAACAGAGAUAGUACUAAAUAAAUGUGUUUUGGUAUAUUUAACAAAAUUGAUUUCAUGUUGUUGGUACUAUGCAUUUCUAAUAAAAUUAAUCAAAAUUAAAAAAUUUCUUUUUGGGAUAAAGUGGGAAGGAAGUUUGACUUUGAACAAAACAUUAGUGCUCCACGUUUCGAUACGGAUGGAGUUGUGCGCAAUUAAUAUACGUAAAUCUAGAGCUAAUCUAUUUGCUUGUCUUGUACCCGGUUGUCCUUUGCUGUCCGUGUGCUCAGGAGUUAAUCAGGACGAUUGGAUGCGCACAUUAACGGACGUGGAGUACAAAAUCUAAGACAUUCAGGUGAGCAGGGGUCUGGCAUUGUUUAUAGCGUCACCAGAGAUAGAUACAGAUGUCCGCGACACCUUUUGCCAGAACGGUUUUAUAGUGGCUGCCAGUAGUAAUAAAGUUGAUCGGAGGAAAUAAACACGUUGCUUGGUUGAAACAUACUGGGCCGGGUCAACCGAAAACUUGCUGGGCCUGCAAAUGAUCCCCGAAGGCCCACCUGGCACACGGACCGUAUCAGAAACUUCCGUUAGUACUAAAUUGUUUUGUUUUGUACUAGCACAAAAAAAAAGGAUCUCAGCGUGGACGCAGCUUUGACGUUUUGUAGCAGCCAGGAACAAGUUCGGGGAGAAUCGGACGCAACACGCACAGCCGCGCACCGCCACUUGCUCUACCGGUCGUGAUAGCCAGGUCGAUCAUGGCGCUGUCUCUCUCCCUCUCCCUCUCCCGGCCCUGUGCAGGCUGCAGCUGAGCCGCAGGUGGAGCUCGCGGUCGUGAUCCCACCACCGUGAUGGCGCGCGAACGAAUGAUGGGGACGGAGACGGGGGCGCGGAAAAGCGACGCACCGACCGUGGGGUAGGGCAGCCACGGCGACCGAGCGAAUCGAGGGGCCUACAUGCAUGUUGCCCGGCAUCCACGUAACGGCAGCAACAGUGAGGGAGGAAGAAGACGAAGCAGCUCUGGUCGUCACCUCGCGCCCGCGGAAAAGACGGUCGGGAUCGAACGCAGGGCCAGGCAGGGAUUGCGUCCACAACAAACAAUUCUGGCGACUGGCGGUGGCGAGGGUGCUCUGGAAUUGUUUGCUAGCUGAGCUGUGCGGGUGGGUGCGGACGUCUACGUGUGCGGCCUUCCCUCAUGGGCUGGAGCUGACACCAUUCAUCUUUGGAGGCCCACGUUGGGAUCGGGUUCCACUACCUGCUGUUUUCACGUGCUGUUUCACUGCGCCCUUUUUCUCUCUUUUUUGAGGCAUUUUUCGUACCAUCUGAUUUUCUUUCUCCCGGGCGCUGAAUCGUUGACACGGUAGCGGCAGGCGUGUACAAUCAUGACGCCAGCCUACCUGGCUAGGAUACGGUAUCGCUCGUCGCCACGUAUGGGUAUGGCGCCCUUUCGGCGCGUACGGAGGCCGAUCGUCCCGCGUACGUGUUGGUCAACGACGCACUGAGGGACGGGACGGGACACCACCGCUCCCUCGUCUUUGACUUUUUGCCAGGCCCGUCUGUCUGCACUUCCGCCCGAGUUCCGACCGUGUGCACGCGACGACUUUCCUGUCCAUGUUCCAAAACAGUUCUGCACUUCUGCUAGUGUUCGUCACCGGCCACCACGGCAUCGCCCAAACGCGUGCUCCCCUUGGCAAGUUGUCUCGUCCUACGGCCCCCCUGGAAAGUGGACCCUGGCCGGCCAGCGGCGACCGCGGCACAAUCCCCGCGUGCGGAAGCGCCAGGUGCCGGCGCGCGCGAGGCGAGAGCGCUGACGGGAGACUGACGCCAGCGCGUAGACCUCGUCGGGAUCGGUCGCGCGCGGCUGUACACGAAUUUCGGUUGACCGCGCUGCUGCGAUGCGGCGCCGCGCGGCGCGGAGGCGGGCGAGGGCGACGACGCCGGCCGCCUGGCCCGAGCCCUGCAGGCGCGGCACGCGGCGGCGCCAACAGAGCGCGACGCGCGCGCGGGGCGGCAAGAUUCCCGCUGUUCCGACGGGUUCGGCAGCGCGCGGCGCGCUCCCUGUCGCGGGCUGGCGGUUCGAGUCCAGGAUGGGCCGAGUGCCCAAGGCAGACGAUCCGAGCCGAGCAGCAAGCAGCAAACGCUCCCGGCCCGCCCUUCAGCAGCUAGGACCAAAUGCUUUUUCACUGGUCAAAAAGCAAGUCAAACGUGCUCCAGGAGCAGAGAGGUGCAUAGCAAGCACGACACUGUGUGUGUGUGUCCACAGGAUGAGACAAGAGAAUCUGCUCGCCGGAUAGGCUUUUUCCCCCCACAUUAAAAUCAAAUGUGGCGCAUCCACGUCAGUUGCUGCCGCCUGGCUCUGUUCCGUUCAGACGGACGCUCCACGUACUAGACGACUACCCUUCGAGUAAACUCUCACGAUUUUGCAUUACAACCGCACGACCACCACCAGUGUUCAAAUGCACGCACAGUGGAUAAGAAUAUGACCACCAGAGAGCAUCCCCCAAAUCAAGCACGCAUGAUUGGUACUGACCAUCACACACACUGGCCGUUGGCUCAGUUUCUGUUGGCAGACAAGCAUUCCAAUCAGAGCUCAUUUCCGUUGUGAAACCAACUGAUAACUCUGAUCAAGAGCAACAAUGGAUUGGAAAACAGAAACGAUAAAUGAAUCAGGGCUGCGAGUCUGCUACCGGUAGCACACAUCCACAAGAGACAGCAUCACCAUUGGUCGCUGGCUUGUUUUUUUAGCUCGCAUGCCGGUACUCCAAGCCGAGCCCAUCUCCGUGACCAACAGCUUAACAAGGAGACAACGACAGGUCUGAAAAAAGAAACCUCCCCGAGCUUGACCUCCUCGUCUCGAGCCCCCCAAUUCUAGCUAACACCAGGCUCUAAUCAGGAAGCAAAAUUUAAUGAGAUGCCUCGGCUUUAGAAUACAGGCUAACAUGGAACGCACAAAGCGCCAAGCAUACAGCGAAUCUGCGCAACUUCCCCACAGAAAGGUACACGUUUGGAAUUGCCUUCUCAGCGCUAGACACUGACCAAAUCAGAGUGGUUAGCUGUUGGUUAUCAGCCUGGUCCUGCAAAAUUAGCUCAAACUUCAGUCUUGGGGGGCCAUCGCUUCGUUGAUCUGAAUAUUUGUCUUUUCUUUUUGCUCUUUCGAAAAAAAUGUUUGUCUUUUGCAACUGAGUCAUUGUUUCUCUUGUAUCGGAAUAGGGUCUGUAAUCUUGACACUGUAAGAUGCACGCAGCAUGGUAAUACAGAAGACAAGGAAUCUCACACGCAGACAGGCAUGAUGCCUGCAUCCACCCAUAACCACAACAUCGCACAUCGGCAUGAGAAGAACCCUGAGGCAUGGGGGUCACGGUGAGGCCAUGCCUGUCCCAUCAGGCCGGUAAACGGUAGUGCAGACGACAGACAACAUCGAUCAGGUCAGUCGAAUGAUCAAGCAGCAGCAUCUGUGGGCUGCCUGCGGUGCGUUGCUUGGGUGAUGGGCCCUCUUCAGUUUGUUUUUUUUAACGUGGUAUGGGCCCUCUUCAGUUUGUCACAUUUAGUAAAGAUCUCGCAAGAGCAGGAAGAGAAAAAAAAAGGCCUACAGCAAAUCGCCAAACUUUGGGGUUGCCCGUGCCCCUACCUAAUAAUUGUUGCACACUCCUAAACAAUUGCUUACUCACUCACAUGUGACGUAAUGGUCCACAAACAGCAGCUCAUUAUGCUAAGAGGGCCUCAGUUUUGUCAUGUUUGCCAAGUGGUGCUUAGAUGGUAAUCCUGCUUACAUCUAACUUUAUUUUCACGAACUAGCUCUCCUUGCGAGUGGCCAAAAAGGUCUGGUUUGCAAAUGUGCCAAAAUCCAGACACCAUUCUGCAUUUUGGCCCUGCAACCGUCACCAAUUUAUACCCAAGGAAGCCAUGGAGGGAGCCUGCUCUUCUCUUGUUAAGCCCCCUCCAUCACCAGUCACUACCACCAUUGCCAAUACACUAGCAUGACGAAGCUACUCUGUGUUGUUCUUGUCUCAAGCCUUCUUCUAGCCACUCUCGCAGGUGCUUCUUCAUCUUCUCUUAUGCCCUCCCUCGGCAGGCAUCAAGCACAAGUUCUAGGCCGGAAAGGCAGAGACCUUGGCCAGUUAGGAUACCAUCACCAGCAUCAAACCAAGCACAUGCAGCAGCAUGAGGUCAGUUCAUACUUCAUACAUCCCCUAGAACCUGUUGAAGUUCAGUCGAUUAUCUUAUCUACAAAGAAAAAUUCAUCAGUGACUGAAGCCUGAAUCUAGCAGCAGUCUGCUUUCCUCUUCCCAUCAAUUUUUCUGUCCACUUUACAUCUUCAGCAAUGUACAGGAAGGAACUUGACGGUUCAUGAUCUGUCCAUGAUCUGCAGGGAAUGGCUAUGGAGGUGGAGAAGCCUGCGGAGACGACGGCCGGUUGGACGGUGGAUCAUGGUGACGACGCCAAGGAUGGGCUGAUCUACAGCGCGGACUACAGCGGGGUGGCCAUGCAUGCCGGCUCUCCACCGACGCCCAAGCCCAAGCACAGGCACCCCAAACCGUAGGACAUCCGAAAUCCGAUCGCGUUCGUCCAUGACCUUAUCCUCGUGUAGUAAAUGGUGUUCUUAAUCUUGUGUGUUUUAUCAUGGGAUUGUACCAUCCGUUCCGUCUCUGUAAAAUAGGCUCUGCUGUUGCUCCUGUUGCUUUGCCUCUGCCCUUGCAUGAUUGCAUCUCACUGGUAGGUCCUGAGCAACGACGUCACAAGGCACAUAGAGAACACGAGUUCGUAAGCUGAUGCUGAUCCACACACACAAAUGGCAGUCGGUGACACGUCAAAUCAUCGUCAAAUUUGACCCAAAAAAUCAUCGCUAAAUCGGGUGGCACUGGCAUGCCGCCGCCGACAUGCCAACCGUGGAGGUUGGGCGCUUGGGCCUUGCUCGAACGGCGGACACUGGUCUGCCGCGGCAGCGCACCUGCGUCUAGACUCCACUCCGCCGCCGCAGCCAGCAAGAGUUGGUCGCCGGACGGGAGGAUCAGAUCGCUCCCAUAGUCCCAUCCGAGACACUGGCGUGCCCAGCGCAGCCGCGUGUAGCGUCACGACGCGCUCGCCGCGGCCGCUGCGCCGCGCGGGCUGGCACGGCAUUGUCUUCCAAAAUUGCAGCCCGAAAUGCCGAUCCACACACACAAAGGACGUGGAUCAGAGCAGGGCAAGUAGCAAACGACAUCAGCGCGGUUUCAGCCAAGAACAGAACAGAAUCUGACACACCUUAUGCUCGAUGCAUAAGCAUAACUGAAGAACCAGACUCACCGAAUGAAAUUCACUGUCCAUCAUCCAGUCCCAAAUGGAGACAAGUACAGACCGAGUACAAACGUGGUGUCCAAGCAAAAGGUUACUGUAACCGACGAAUCGAAACAAUGUGGGUCCAGAAAACUGUAAAUUUUGUACAGGAUGGCGCCGAACAGAAUCACAAGAUCCAGACCGGUGGGCAACAAUCAAUUUUGUUGUGGACCGGUUUAUUUGCCUGAGCCAUGCUUCAUGUCUUUCAUACAUUCAGUGCCAACUUCUUAGCGGCAAGAGCCUCGGCUUCAAGGGUUGGCUCCCAGAGAAUUGUGGUCUCUGCCAGUAGCCCUGUCACAAUGUAUGGGUCCAUGUUCGAUGCUGGGCGACGGUCUUCCAGGUACCCUGUUGGGCGGGGUGAAAAGAGGAAACAGCCUUGGAUUUUCUAGUUACUGAAUUCACAUGCAUGAAUACUGAAAAUUGUAUAAUAAGAUAUGAAUUUAGUGGCACUGUAUCUUUUUCUUUCUACUGCAGUGCAUGUGUUGGCCAACUGGAUGUAUACAUCCGUUGACAGAAACAUAUUUACAUCCUGAACUGCACGACUAAACUUAUAUUUCAAAGACAAAUGCAACAUUGGUAUAGGGUCAUUUGGAUAGAGUGCAGUCAAGAUCGCAAGACCACAAUUGUAACCUUAGCAAGACCACAAUUGUGGCCUUAGCAAGAUGAUGCUACUCCGCAUGGCCUAGACUCUUUGCCCAGUGUCCAAGUGGUAUUUAUAUAUAGGUAAUAUCAAUGUAAACUGUCAAGAACAUACCUUUUCCUUUGGCCUCAGUAUCUCUCCCCACACGAAUAGAGCAUCCACGGUUCGCCACGCCCUGAUAAAUGAAAAUGUUUCAUUAGCAACUUACAAAUAAACAAUAUUCAGUGGACUGGCAAAAGAUAAACAAAGGUGCCAUCCAUACCCAUGAGAAGGUGUCGAUGCUAGCUGUCUCGUGUAACCCUGUCAAUCUUCUUUCAUUUCCUUCUCCAUAUGCACUAAUGUGCAAAUCAUGGCGCAGAGAAAGGUUAAGGAUUGCUUUCUUGAUCACUUCAAAUCCUCCAUCUUCACGCAUGCUCUUCGUGCUACAUUUGCAAGGAUUUCAGAUUCAGUCUCAAAUAAGGGUGAAUUGUGUUAAAUGUAUUGAGAAAAAUUCAUAAAUGCAGAAUGUAAAUAACUGAAGUGAAUACUUAUAUGGAUUCAUUCACGCUAGGAAACAAUUUACUAAUGGCAUAUUGAUACUUACUUUUACUCCCUUUCAGGCAUACAAGAACAAAUGUUUUUCUUAGAUCUCAGCAUUCAGCAUAUGCUAAUCUAUAGUGCUAUAGGCAUUCUGAUGUUUGGCCUAUACAUGACAAAGUAUACCAUGAACUCAUUGUGAAGGAUUAUUAAGUAUUAGCAUAAGGACUGUAACCUGUAAUUUGUGUGGCAGCCAGCUCCGUUCCAGUCACCCUGUCACCAUAUAAUACGGAUAUACGUUCAGUUUCCUUUAAUUGUAAUCCAUUAUAAUAACUUGAAACAAGUAGCUGGCGGGCAUACCGGAAUUGGUUUUGGAUCAAGUGUAAGCACAACUCCAGCUUGCUCCGUGAUUCUCUGAUAAAGGUGAGUAGGAUUACAUUUAGAAGUGCUUAUAGUGACGUAAAAAUUGACAUAGCCUAAAGGACAGAAUUAUGGGCUUCAGGCCUUAGGUCUUUUGAACGAGACAGAUACACGGAACUAUGAUUUUUCACCACAAGAAAAAAUAUUCUAAAACCUAUAAAUACUUACUUUACUAUAAUAAGCAGAUGGACUCUUAAAAAUAUGCUCCAAUAAUAAGGAAGAAUAAAAGAACCGAAAUGACAAGAUACCAGGAAAUCCUUAAUUACUAUUUGGAGUACCUCGAGAAGGUAUCUUGAAAUCCAUAUGUGGUCUCCUGCUUCAAUACCAACACUAGGUCCAACUUGGUACUCCCACUGCACAGAUAAGGAUUAUGAAGUUCUGCCAAUUAAACAGUUUGGGAGGGGUGGAUAUAUAACACACAGAUUCAGAAAACUAAAAAACAAAUUACAUGUGUCUUGAAAAUAACAUAACCAUACCUGACCAGGCAUGACCUCCCCGUUUGUUCCACUAAUGUUGAUUCCAGCGUAAAGGCAUGCCUUGUAGUGAGCAUCUGAUAUGUCGCGGCCGAAUGAUUUUUCCGCUCCUACGGCACAGUAGUACGGACCCUGCCAUAUUUUGACAGAACAAGUUAUUUUCGAAAUAGUGUUCAUCAAGCCAAUGCAAGACACUUAUUUCAACAAGUAAAUUUACUAUGGCAUGAUACACCAAGUCUUUUUCCUUGAUUAACAAAAUACCUGGGGACCAGGGUAGCCUCCAACAGGCCAGCCAAGAGGCCAAUUCACAUCUCUCUGCAUCAAAGUGUACUCUUGCUCAAUGCCAAACCUAGAAGCAAAAGGAUACAGGAAGUGUUUCAACUAAUUUUUCUAUUAAGUAAUAGGAUAGUAAGAUUUGUAUUAUAAUCUAUAGCGUACAUGUGACUAAGUCAGGAUUACCAUGGCACUUGUUCAACGACCUUUGGGUCGCUGAAAAUUUGUGCAGCCCUGUGGCGUUUGUUAGUAGGAAUGGGUUCCCCAGCUGGCGUGUAGGUAUCACACAUAACCUGAGAAGCCAAAUUUUAUAUUAAUCAGCAUAUUGUUUUGCACAUGCUAAUCAAAGGUCAGCAUGAUCGCCCAUAAGUUCAGGUGACUAUGUGACAUCAUCUGAGAAGCAUGAGCGACAAUCACAAUUGAAGGUGAAAAGAUUAUACCAUUCUAACUUGUAACUGCUAUUCUUUUAACCUUUCUAUUCACGUUUAUGUGGAAUAGCACGUAUAGAAUGGUAUGAGUCAGUUGGGAUUGGAAGUACCAAAAUGUUGUUGCCGCCUCGGAAUGGGUCCUUGAAAAUAGCCUGGGGACUGAGAACAGAAAGAGAAAUAUCAGCAAUGUAACAGUAAAAUGUUUUUUUUUUCAUAUAAGGAGCACAUCUGUUGUAAUCCCCCCACUUACUAUAGAAUGACUUCACUGUCUUCUCCUGGAGCUUGGCCUGUGCUUGAUCCAUCGUAGUUCCAUUUUGGUAGUUCCGAGGGAUCCUCCACGGGUUUUUCAAUUGUCUGAAAUGCAGGCAUGAAGAUCUAUUUUGAGUAUCGUCGUGUAAAAGUGAUAUGCAAAUAGCAAAAGGAGUGCCCUGUGCUCAUGGGCUCAUUCCCUAAACACCUGGUAAUUGUCCGGAAAAGGAGAUGCAAAUAAUGGUAGUGGUGACGUUGAAUGCUUACCCUUGAUUUGCUUCUGAUGUCGAUUCCAGAUCCUCCGACCCUACACAAUGUGAAAAGGGGGGACAGAUGCAGAUUCGUCAACACAGAGCUAUGAGCACUUUGCAUCAGUAGUGUGAUCCUCAUUUUAGUAUUGUGUACUGCACACAAAAGUAUGUGAUGCACUCUAUUACUUAAGUGCAGGAACUGGAAAGCAGAGAUGAAUCAGCACCCACAAAGCUUUAGAAGUUGUUUUAGACUAAAAGCUUAAGAACUUUUAGUGGCUCCGAUACUAUUUUAUAUAACUAGUAAUAAAGUUGAAUCCGCACUGUGUCUGUGUGUCCCCGUGCUAGCGGGAUCUCACUCAACUGUGCAACUCCCGAUCGGACGGUUCACGGACAUCCAAAAAGCGAGGCCUUUGGCCUAUUCCCAGGCUACGGUUCGUCAGGUGGGGGGCAGAAAAAAUCCCUGCGCUACAGCGACCGAAUGGAAUGCAAGGCGCGUACCAGAUGUACUCGGCGAUGAUCUUGUCGGUGUAGGGCUUGGUGUCCAUGUUGAGCAGCUGCUCGAGGCGCGGCACCACCCCGGUGCUCGCGGUGCUCAGGGCCAUGGCCUUGAACCCCGGGGUGCCGCGUCCGCUCCUCCUGACGCCCCACACCCUUCCCGCGGCGCUCGCCGCCGGCCUUGCCCGGACGGCCGCCUUCGCCCCGACCUGGCACUGCAUCGCCGGCAACACCGCCUGCGCCAUUCCGGAACAACCGGCUGCCCUCCCUUCCCACUCGAAGACCUUCAGCGAAGCAAAUCGACACAUUACACCACCAACCUCGUAACCACGCGGGAACCGGAAUGCGGCGGAGAAGCCGCCGCCGCCGCCGGGCAUUGCACCCCCCCCCCCCCCCCCCCCGAACUCACCUGCGACGAGCGCGGGCGAGACGGCGCGAUGCGAGAGACGGAAGAGAAAGGGGAAGAGUGGCGCGGCGCCUCGGGAUUAUGCGGGCGGGCCGUAUAAAUAUUUGGGAUCCGGUGGCUUUUGCUGAGGGGAUAGGGCUCCGCGGGCUGUGGGUGGACGAGAGAUUCCUGGCCCUUGACGAGCACCGGAGGCGGAGGCAGCAGUAGCACGACGACACACCACACCAGACGAGGCCUCGAUCACACGCACGCGCACGUCCGGAUAAAACCCGCGGCGUUUUCCUGGAUAUCAGAGGGGCGUUCCCGCCCCGGUGACCUCUGCGAACGAAACCGCAGCAGCAGCGACCGGCGCCUCGUGUAUGCUUGGGAUCGAUCGUCGAUCGGCAUUGUGAACUUGUGACCUACGAUUACAAUAUGCCUUCAUCCGCGGGGCCUUUGACCAGGGAUGAUGGACCGGACAUGGCGAUGUGCCGAAUUCAAUAGUUGACAAACAACUAGUGAUCUUUUGUUUUUUUUUCUGAAAAUAACAACUGCUAUUCUGACCAGCAACUAAAGCACCGUCAAAUGAUUGAGUGUGGUACAAUACAACCGUACAAGUGCCCCGUUUGGUUUUUCUCGCAGUAGGAAAAAUGACUAGCUAACCACCCCAAAAAACUUCUCUGUCAAGACUUGGGUGGGAUUAUCCAGUACUCAACUCACGUGUGCCCCGUGCAACGCCAGCAUUCCCCUCAUGUACUGAUUCCUGGUUGUUCUAUACAUCUGAAGCAAAGUCCCAAAGCUCUCGCAGGCGUCCUGGUACACGACGUACCUGCAGAACCUUGAAGUGAAGCCUGUGAAGCCAACCAAGGCUUGCUCAGGGUUAGAGCUGAACGCCUCAACAAGCUCUUCAAGGGCAUCCAAGAUGUUGCAGAAAUCGAUUCUCAAGUCUGCAUCUCCUCCUUGUGGCAAGUGCCGGAGCCAGCUCAUCCACAGAAACGGUUCAUCAUUAUUUUCUUGGACUGCCAACUCGAUGCUUUUCAAUGCUUCCUUGAAGCUGCAGUUUUUCUCCAAGCUCCUAAGUAUCUCAUCAAAAGUUGAUCUCUGGCUGCUUCUAAGAGCCUUCAAGUGUGCCGUUGUGCAGGAACUGGAAGAUGGAAGCUUUGCUGCAACUAUGCAUGCCUUCCUGAAAAUAGGAUCAUUGUUGGAGAGCAACCUGAUGGCCACAUGCAACACAAGAGCAAAUAGCGAAGUUUCCUCUUUUGCUCUGGACCUGUCGAAUCGAGACCCUCCAAGCUUCUGUUUCUCCACCCAACAAUGAAGUGCAAUAUGUGCAAAUCCUUCCCACCUGCAACACAAUGUAUGCUAAGAAGAAGAAACACUAGACACGCAAAGUAAGAAUUUCACAUAAAUACGGUUAAUACUUACUCAAAGGGUGGCUCAACCUCAAUAGCAAGAGUCAAAUGAAGUGAAUAACCAGCAUAUGCAUUCAUUUGAGAUUCACCAACAUCAGUGUGAGCCUCGUGGACAUAACCUCUAGGAAUGUACAUCAUGUCUCCUUCAUGUAACACCUCCACUCUUCCACUGUUAUCAUCUAAAGUACAAUCUAGAGGAUCAAAAGGCUCAUAUAGUCUAGGCAAAAGUGGCUUUGGAUUAGGCCAAAUCAUCCAUUUCUUGCAACCAAGUAGCUGCCAAACAAGUACACAGUGAUCAUCAUAAUGUCGGGCUAGGCCUUGAGACCUUGGAGGAGAGAAGUAUAUGUUGGCUCCUACAGAAGGUUGGCCAAAUAGAUCAGCCAGGGCAGAAGCUAUAGCAGCAACCUUUUCGGACCGGAACUCCAAGCCACGCAAUGCAACUGAAUAGCCCUUCUUAAAUGCAUGCUUACAUUUUUUUGCGAAUGCUUCUUCAUCCAGGAAGACUGUUCCAUCAUCGAAAAAAUGCUCCUCCCUCGCAUAUACCCUUGAGGUUUGAUCACUUGGGUCUUCUGUUCUCAAAACCCUAAUGUCUUGCCUGUACUUUAUGGCAUCACCCAAGGAAUCAUGAACUUCAUGGAGAAAUGAAUUUAUGUCGAGUUCAUCUGAAGCAAUAGCAGGGCAAGAAACAAGCCCCUUUAUAAAUGAUUCAAUUAUAGCAUCAGGUGUUGUACCAAGAUUAAAAGCACUAUUCAAGGCUGCAAAGACAGGAUCAUCAUUUUGAGUGUUUUGUUUCCUCCUGUACAAAUUAGGUGACUUUUCCCAGUAGGCCAGGACAAAAUUUUCGAAAUUGGACUCAGCUUGGCCAAAAAUACUUUUCCUGACCACAUCAGGCUCUAGGCAGGCUGGAGAAGCAAGUUCAAUUGAAAGAUUAAAAAUAGCUUUAGAUAUCUCAUAUUCUCUACUUUGAAGUUGAUUCUUCCUGUUGUUGCAAUCAGCUGAUGAUCUCAAGAGUUUGACUUUCUUCCAUACUUUAUAUAACAAAGACAGAGUGCUCCUUACUAGCUCUUGCUGCAUACUUUGCAUUUUGUCAACUUUACGGGAACUCACCAGAAGGACCACUGUGUCGAUGAUCAAGUAUGAGAUUUUAUUUGCUUCUGUGUCUUUUUCUGGGUGUUUGGUUGUCCUGCUAUCAACAAAUUCACAAAUAGAUUCCACCUGAAAAAAUACAUGCCUACAGGAAGUCAACUUCACAUUUUCACUUGCUCAAGAGAUUCAGAAAGUACAAACAGAGAGCAUCUCUUUCAUCAAUUAAAACAGACUGUGAUACUUGUCUACUUCUAGCUACAUGGUGCCUUUUAUCAUAUAACAAUAAAGCAUGCAUUUGAAAUACAUUUCGCUGAUAUAAAGCGUGGCUCAAGUCGCUAAUAUAAACCUAGUUAGUUAGUAGCAAUUGCAAAUACACAGAACUGCUGGUAGGAAAACUAGAUAGAGCAUGAACACGAAUUCAAGGUUGUGGCACCGAAAUUUGAUAUUAUUUUGUUCAAUUUGGUAGGGGAAACCAUAUAAAUCAGUAAGCAAAACAUGCUUCAUACUGUAAUACAACUACGGCCAUGGGAUACAGAUGCUCACAACAUGCUCGGCAGGACAGGUGAGCCUGCAAGGCGCUCCCUACCAACUGAAGAGGCCGAGAGAUCCAUUAUAGAAUUACAGGCAGCCUCGGUCACUCGCUGGCUUCCACUCCCCAGCGCCCUCGCCAAGCCGCUGGCGAUGCCACUGUCGGACGCCAGCACCUCGCCGGCCUCCAUGGACCGCAACGCCGCCGCGCCCAGCACCUCGCAGCUCAGCGCGGCGACAGAAGGGCAGCUGCAAUCCACAUUGCAGCACAGCUCGUAUCAGAAAGGCAUGGAUGUAAGAUAAACAAGCGCAGGGAGGGCAUUCCGGCAAAUUGACGGAGGCGGAGCUUGCGGGGUGCCUACCUGGAGGAGAGGAGGCGGGGGAGGAGCGCGACCAGGGAGUCCGGGAGAGGGGACAGCAUCUGCGGCGAGCGGGAGAGCACGCGACGCAGGAGGCGGGCUGCUAGUGCGGCUGAGGAGCAGGAGUUGCUGUUUUGGCGGGUGGUUUGGGCGGCGGCGAGAAGGAUGGGGAAGACGUGGUGGUCGAAGGAGGCGGAGGAGGGCGAGGCGUCAUCGGCGGCCGCUUCAUCCAUGCGCCCCUUCCUCUUUCUCCUCUUCCCGUUCCGAUUCAUGGCGUUCGGGUGCAUCGCGCGUUCGUUUCGGUUCGCGGCGGCGCUGAGGGAGGCCGCGAGGGCGCGGUGGGAGACGAUGAUGGAUGCAGAAGUACGUGUUGCCUGCACCGGUGGCGUAUAUGAUCAUAUUACGCUUUCUCUGUAGCUUUGCGCCUUUGUGUGACGACGCCAAGACAUCGGUUGGAAUUUGGAAACUUGGCAUGAAUUGAGCUUGUUGCAGACAGCAGCAUACUUAGUUUCGAUUUCUUUUAAAAAAAUUCUGAAGAAUGGAUUUUAAUGAAUUUCGUCAUUUUAUUAUUUUUAUAUUUUCGUUAGAGAUGCUCCGCAGACUGCGCGUAGUAGUUUUAAAAAAUUUCACACUCAAAAGUAAUCAUACUCCUGAUCAUACUUUUUAUUUCCAAACAACGUGGCCCGAUAGCCGUGUGUCUAAAAAAAGUUUGAAGGAUAUGAUGGGCUUUUACACCAAAAGCAUGACGACGAGAUGGGUGGCAGCGUACCAAAAAUCAAUCAGAGACUAAAUUAGUCUGAGAAUAGCGGCGCAGCUCGAGCUGAUCUUCGAGGGCGGGUUGUCGAGAUCUUGCAUGCCAUUAGUCAUUAAACUAGUACAAAAUAAUUGCCGAUACAUUUAUGCUAUAUGAACUUUAGCAAUCAUACUGUUAGCUGAUCGAAUAGUUAAAUCACUAUGGUGCCCUGUUUCCCAUGCUUGCUCUUUGCAAAGUUGGAGUUGUACAGUCAGCAGGUCUACACCUACUCCCAACUCCUUGGCCGCCAAGAAUGCUUUUGGUCGCUUGCGGUGCUAUAUGAAGACCUGAACUCGCGUCUCAGCAGCAGUGAACUAUCUUCCUGAGCUCUAUCUCCUGACUAUGCUUCGUGGAGCUGUUCCUCUCUGAUCUUCUUCUCAAGUCUUGUCUAUGUGCUUCUUGUUUCUUGAAUUAUGAUCCGUUUUACUAUGUGCCUUUUUCUUUUUUCUUUUCUUUUGUGCUUUUUCGUUAAGUUUAUUUUGCGGUUUAAUUUGUCACAGUCAUUUUUGUUUGAGCUUGGCCCUUGGAGGACAAUGAUGGAAACAACGAAGGCUCGCUCGCCGAACCUAAUAUGGCAUCUCAGGUGCCUUGACGAUUAGAUUCGUAUGUGUACUGAGUUCUCCAUGCUCACAGCUUCCUUCUGUCACUGAUGAGAGUCUGAGAAAUCAAUCUUGGCUUUGGACGUUCUUCCUUCUCUCAGUUCUCACCGUCUCUUGCAUGGAAAUUAAAAGUGUACAGCUUGGAGUACAUCCCCCUGUUCCUGUCGCUGGCGUCCCUGGUGAAGGGCAUCUGCUGGACCGCCUACGCUCUCAUCAAAUUCGACCUCUACAUCACCGGAAGCAACUACAACCAGCAGGUUAAAUUUCAAAGUUUAUUCACUUCAGUCCGGUCCACCGUAUCAUUAGAACGGCAACACUAGCACUACCACUACCAGUAGGAAUCUGUCAGCGACUAUAUAUAAAGACUGUGACCAAAAAUCUCCUCCUGCACUGCAGCAGGGAGAGCCAUGUGCUCUAGCAGUGACAAACAGAGCAAUUUUUACAGCAGAACGGGGUUCUAGAACCGUAUUCCAUUGCGAGACUACCAUCCAUCAGUGUUGCAAUAAACCACACCACCGGAUGCCCGGCCACAUGGGUGCUCAGCCGGCAGCCUUUUCCCCUUCGCGGCCUCCUCCCGUCCCUCCGGCUUGGUUCAGGGGCACAUGCGCGUAGCACGUAACCACCCGUGUACGGUUGCGCAGGUGCCACACGCCCCCUUUCCUGGAGAUGAACAAUUGUCGUCCAAUUUUUCUUUUUCUUUCAUAUUUCUCUUGGCACUAUUUUGCUCCCUUUUUGGGAACUACUGUCCUCAACUUCUUAUAUCGUUCUUCUUUCGUUUUGAGUGGACGAACUACAAUUGUUUUGCGAUGUUCAGAGCUUCAGAUCACGCAUAGCGUUCUUGAAACCCGGCAGCAAGUUAACCGCAUGCAAAAUAAUGGUCGUAGUUCAAUAUAUCAGUUUGAGUAAAAAGGAAACACGAGAUGCACAGAGGUUCAGAAUCAGCAUUUCACCGAGAAAGCUCGAUUGCUCAAAAAGGUUUCAGAGGAAGACAAGUUCUGUUAUGAAAUUUGCAUGGAACUUGGCCCGAACUUCUUACUGAACAAAAUUCCUCAUUCAACUUUCAUACGAAACUUGGUCCGAAAAUCACAACAGAAAACAGGUCUAAACAUUCAACAGAGAAUGAUCUGAACUGGAAUCAAACAACAGCUCUGUUUGCAACAGCUGUGUCUCUAACAUGACAAUCCCCAUCAUCUCAGCACUAAUAUAUGAAAGAACAACAGCUCUAUUUGCAGCAGCUAGCUCACAGGGGGAGUUCAGGGUGCGCCCAGCGCUCAGUAGCGAACACACAGUACGGGAGGCCGCUGGAUGCCGGGUUCAUUUGUUUCCUUUCCGAUUUCUGGCCUCGCCCGCUGUUUCCAGUGGACUGUGCCUGCGAACUCAAUGCCAAUGCAAGUUCCUGGAACAUACCUGCUUAGCAUGGACGCCCGUGAGUACGUUGCUCUUUUUGAAGGAAAGCAUGUGCAGCUCAUGUGGAACAUCACAACCAGCCAACCGACUUUGUGGAAAAUCACACCGGCGCAUUCAAAAGCUAGAUUCUUUUUAUAAAAAAAGAAAGGACAAUCCCACCCACACCACGAAUCACUUCUUCAGCUAAUCCAUCCACCGGUCACUUCUUCCCUCUCGGAGCGCGCGCGCACCAAUCCAUCGGUCACCCGCCUGCACGCCCAUGGCCAGCGCGGGUGCGGCAGCGGUGACGACGUCGGCGAGCGAGGUAUCGGUGAGCUCGCACCUGUUCACGGUGAGGGGCUACGGCAACACCAAGGGCAUCGGCGUCGGCGUCUCCAUCGAGUCGCCCGCGUUCGACGCCGCGGGGCACCGCUGGUCCGUCGUGUUCUACCCGGACGGCGAGAGCCAGGACGCCAGCGGGCAAAUCUCCGUCUUCGUCAGGCUCGUCAGCGAGGCCAGCGACGACGUCACCGUCCUCUACGGCUUAAGCCUCGUCGACCCGACCGGCGCCGCGCCGGCCGCGGAAGCCUCGAAGGCCCCAAAGAUCUCCACGUUCAGUUGUGGUGAGUCCAGAGGGCUCGGCUGUUUCAUGGAGCAGGAAACGUUCGAGGCUUCGCCGUACCUGCAGGACAAUUGCUUCACGAUCAAGUGUGUCAUCGGAGCCGUCAACGGACCAGGUGCAGCGCUGGCGCCGCCGGCCACCGAGCUGCGCCAUGGUUUCGAUCGCCUUCGGCUAGACGGCGCUGCGGACGACGCGUGGUCCGACAUCGGAGGGAGCAGCGGAGAAGCUAGCGACUGAACAAGAUAGCCAUGCUGCUCUACUAGCCUGUGCUAGGAGCGCAGGUGUAUCAGGGGAAAAGAAUAAACAGAGUUGCCUCUGGCAGUUCACCAAGCAUGUAUAUCUUUGUGGCUUGCAUGCUUUGCUCUUUAACAAAAACUCUAUGUACCUUGCUCUGUGCACAGAAAUAUGUAAUCAGGUUCGGACGGGUAAGGAUUGAAAUUGUGGACUGAUUUGCUGUCCAAACAAGCCUGCAAUGACUGAUUGCAGACUUGGGAUAGUAGCCGGAUAACAAGGGAAAGGCUGCAAUGAUUUCAGAUUUCUCUUGGCACUAUUUUGCUCCCUUUUUGGGAACUACUGUCCGCAACUUCUUAUAUCGUUCUUCUUUCGUUUUGAGUGGACGAACUACAAUUGUUUUGCGAUGUUCAGAGCUUCAGAUCACGCAUAGCGUUCUUGAAACCCGGCAGCAAGUUAACCGCAUGCAAAAUAAUGGUCGUAGUUCAAUAUAUCAGUUUGAGUAAAAAGGAAACACGAGAUGCACAGAGGUUCAGAAUCAGCAUUUCACCGAGAAAGCUCGAUUGCUCAAAAAGGUUUCAGAGGAAGACAAGUUCUGUUAUGAAAUUUGCAUGGAACUUGGCCCGAACUUCUUACUGAACAAAAUUCCUCAUUCAACUUUCAUACGAAACUUGGUCCGAAAAUCACAACAGAAAACAGGUCUAAACAUUCAACAGAGAAUGAUCUGAACUGGAAUCAAACAACAGCUCUGUUUGCAACAGCUGUGUCUCUAACAUGACAAUCCCCAUCAUCUCAGCACUAAUAUAUGAAAGAACAACAGCUCUAUUUGCAGCAGCUAGCUCACAGGGGGAGUUCAGGGUGCGCCCAGCGCUCAGUAGCGAACACACAGUACGGGAGGCCGCUGGAUGCCGGGUUCAUUUGUUUCCUUUCCGAUUUCUGGCCUCGCCCGCUGUUUCCAGUGGACUGUGCCUGCGAACUCAAUGCCAAUGCAAGUUCCUGGAACAUACCUGCUUAGCAUGGACGCCCGUGAGUACGUUGCUCUUUUUGAAGGAAAGCAUGUGCAGCUCAUGUGGAACAUCACAACCAGCCAACCGACUUUGUGGAAAAUCACACCGGCGCAUUCAAAAGCUAGAUUCUUUUUAUAAAAAAAGAAAGGACAAUCCCACCCACACCACGAAUCACUUCUUCAGCUAAUCCAUCCACCGGUCACUUCUUCCCUCUCGGAGCGCGCGCGCACCAAUCCAUCGGUCACCCGCCUGCACGCCCAUGGCCAGCGCGGGUGCGGCAGCGGUGACGACGUCGGCGAGCGAGGUAUCGGUGAGCUCGCACCUGUUCACGGUGAGGGGCUACGGCAACACCAAGGGCAUCGGCGUCGGCGUCUCCAUCGAGUCGCCCGCGUUCGACGCCGCGGGGCACCGCUGGUCCGUCGUGUUCUACCCGGACGGCGAGAGCCAGGACGCCAGCGGGCAAAUCUCCGUCUUCGUCAGGCUCGUCAGCGAGGCCAGCGACGACGUCACCGUCCUCUACGGCUUCAGCCUCGUCGACCCGACCGGCGCCGCGCCUGCCGAGGAAGCCUCGAAGGCCCCAAAGGUCUCCACGUUCAGUUGUGGCGAGGCCAGAGGGGUCGGCUGUUUCAUGGAGCAGGAAACGUUCGAGGCUUCGCCGUACCUGCAGGACAAUUGCUUCACGAUCAAGUGUGUCAUCGGAGCCGUCAAGGGACCCGUUGGGCGCCCGCGCGGUGGCGCACGCCGGCGGCCGCUAGCUGGGCCAGCGUGGACCGCUGUCCCUUCACCUCCCCUUUCACCUCCCCGCUGCCGCCCGCUCGUCUUCUCCUCUCUCCCCAUUCAAACACGCCCGUUCUCCUCCCCCGGCCAAACCCUAACGCCUCCCGCCGCCGCUUCCUCUUCCACUCGCCCGCCGGCCGCCGCAUCCCAUCGCCGUCGGUGAGCCCCCAUCCAAUUCCUCGCGCCCACACCACCUCCUCCCCCUCCUCGUUCGAUUCCGGCCGCCCGCCGCCUUCCCCUCUGCCCGCACCUUCUCCCCGACACUCCUCCCUCCGCCGCCGCCGUGCUCCGCCGCGCCGCCGGUCACCGCCUCGCCCCGCUCGCCCGUGCCGCGGGCGAGCACCCUUGCUGUGCCACGCUGCCGGUGCGCGCGCGUCCCCGCCCCCUCUCGCGCUCCGGCUGCGUCGCUGCCCGUGGGCAGCCGCGGCGUCGCGCUGCGCGUGCGCGCGUCCGCGCGCGGGCCGCGCCGCGGGCGUGCGCUGGCCGCGCCCGUGGUGAGUCAAGGCCACGGCUGGCCUUGACUCCGCCCGGGGCGUGCGCUGGCCGCCUGGGUCCGCCUGUCGGCGCCUAGGGGCGCUAGAUCCGGGGGUGGAUCUAGCGCUUGCCGCCCGGUUUCUUUUAUUUGUUUUAUGCUGUACAUUUAUAAAUUGCAUAGGAAAUGUUCUAGGUCUCCAAAAAUUGUGAAAUUAAAUUUUUUGGACUCCUCUGCAAUAGAUCUACUUAGAUAAAUUAAGUUUGAGCAUGUCAAAAUCCUGUACACUUAGUUAAAUUUUAUCCUUUCUAAACAUAGUUAAAUGCUUAACUUAUUUUGUGAUGCUCUAAAAAUGUUAAAUCAAGAUUUUUUAGAAUCCUUAGUGAAAUUACUAGAUGAUGGUAUAGAUUGUGCAAGUGUUUUCAUGCUUUUUGCUAGAGUUUUAAUGUGUUUAUUUAAAUUCUGCCUGCAAAAUUGUUUAAUGUGUAACUCUUGAUUGAAAAAUGAUAAAAUGAUAAAACCACUUCUGUUACUUUUGUUAUCAAAUCCUGUGUCUCCAGUAAUUCUUUAAGAAUUCAUGAAGAAUGCUUUGAGUACCUUUUAAGAUUUAACUUGAUUCUAGCAGCUGAAAACUAUAAAUAACAUGAGUAAUUCCACAAAGAUGUUUUUGCUGCAAUUUCAACUCUCAUGAGUUUCUUUUGAGAUCCCCACUGUGCACAAUUUAAAUCAUGAUUUAUGCUUGCUAAAUAUCUUGUUAAGCAAAUUUCGUCCUUGGCCGUAGAAUUAAAAUUAGUAGUCAAGCUUGUGGUGUCAUGGUCGUUUUGCUUCCAUGAUUGGAGUGAUAUUUUUCUUCCAUUGCCAUAUCAUUGCAUGUCAUCUCAUUUUCAUAUCAUUGGCACCAUCCUAAUGCAUACAUCUCAUUCAUGCAUUAUAGUGACCGAGACGCCGGAGGACGCACCCGUUGAGCCCACCGAGACCUUUGAGACCGAGCCGGGAGCCGAAUUUGUUGUGGAACAAGAAGAAAACCAAGGCAAGCAGCUAAGCAUGAUCCCUUGCCCCUUUUUAACUUGACUGGACUUAGUUAUCUCAAUGGGUAUAUAUGUAUAUUCUAUAUGUUUAAUUUUUGCAUCGUCGAUCCUAUUUACUUGUCAUGACCUUCCUUGUUUACGCUCUCAUGUCCUUGUCACGUGUAGUAAUAACUAAAUGAUCUAGCAAAAGCUUAGUCAUGCUUAGAUUUGGCUUUUAAACUUGCAAGAAACAUUGGAAUAGGGUUACCUUGAUCACUACACUACUUCUAGUAUGUUCGUGCUUAUUCCCGGUGUGUCGGAAGAUCGGAAAAGGGGAUUAAUGGAAUGGUUAUGUCAUGAUUCGAGUGGAAGGCAGGGCCUUGGGAAAGGAGUCUCGGAGGUAUAGUCCGCUUGAAUUGGUUAAGGACCGUCCGUGGAUGACCUUGGAAAUUGAGCACUUAUCGUACUACCACAUAUCCAUUCAUGGGAUGGAUAAACCAAUUACCCUCUAGUUCUAAUCAUUGAUGCACGGUCCUAGAUGCGUGGCCAUAGGCCUUUGUAGAGAGGCUUAGGGGUGUCCCCGGUGGAUCUAGGUAACUCUCCGCGCAAGUUAGGCGUGAUGUUCAACGGUUACAACUAGUCGGGAAAGGUUGAUGCGAGUACCCCCUUGCCCAAAGUGAUCGGUUGGGUGAGUCGCAUGGUCCUUGUGUCGUGUGGGUAAAGAUGUACACCCUUGCAAGGUUAUUGAAUCAAUUCAAAUUGCCGUGCUCUCGAUUAUGAGCAAGCUCUUUAUCCUACGAAUUCUUCGUAGAAGUGUUGAUUUUGUUGGUUGGAUACAUGUUACCUCUUGAUGAUGCAUAGUGAUUAAUUAAAUUAAUUAACUAAAACUUGAGGUGGGUUGGGCAAGUUGAUUAAAAUGCUAGGAAGCUAGGUGUGGAGUUAGGGAGCUCAUGCUUAACUAAUAUUACUUAACCCCAAAGCCUCUUUGUGAGCCUUCAUAUGCAUACUCCUUGAUUAUUAAUUAUUCGCGUAAGUCUUGCGAGUACCUUUGUACUCAUGUUGCUUUAUUAUACUAAGUUGCAGGUGAACCGGAAGUGGUGUUUGGCCAUUUGUACCCCGCCGAAUCCGGCGUGGGCGAGGAGUAGACCAAUACGGUUAAUGGUGUCCUUGAGCAAGACGCCAUUAUUAUUUAUCGUUAUAUUUUCCGCUGCGUAUCGUAUUUUUAUGAUAAACGUUAAACUCUAUAGUUUUUACCCCUUUCUAAUGUUAUUGUGAGCCCGAGGCUUGUAUCCCUUAUUUGAAUCUUUAAAUUUCAGAUUUAGAACCUUUUCCUAUAUUAACGUUGUAAUGGUUAGUUGCUUAACUUUAUAUUAAAACUUGCUCUUUAUGGAUCAUUGGUGAUGUAUGAGCUCAUGAUGGUAUGUGCAUGUGCAUGAUCUUGGGCAUAUGUUGGAUCACAUACCGGGACUACCAGGUUUAACAUAUUUUCGGUGAAAAAUAAGUUGGUCCUUGGUAGUUUAGAUGUGGAUUAACCCGUGAUGCGUUAUUUGUGCGAACGCGUGUUAGCUCUCAUCUUCAUGAUAAGGACCGACGGUUUCGCUUAAAAUGAUGUUAAAUUGGGCAGUUCUCACACCGGCCACCGAGCUGCGCCUGUCAAAUAAUCCUUGUGCUUAGUUUGCUUUGCUUCCUAGAUUAGGCGCAUGGCGCUCUCUGAUGGCUGUGCGCGUUAUGGAACACUGACGAGCGCUUUGUUCGCUCAGGUGCGCGUCGUGCGCUGUGAUGGAGGUGUGUGGGAUGGCAUGCAUCGAGGAAGGUCGUGGCGCACAUGUCGGGGCUCACGUUCCCCAUUUCUUCAGCUGUAAUCUUUGCUUUAUAUAGCUAAUGAUCAUACAGAAAAGCUGCCAGUUGGUUGCAGCACAAAUCAGAACGUGUCCACCUCGUGUUCGUGUGAGCUGUGUGCGUUCGCUCAGCUGCGCAGAGGCUCGCCGGAGAUCAUUCCUUAAUCUGUAUUCCGGCGAUCUCUGACAACGUGGUACCGGAGCCCGGUUACGAGUCGGGAGUCCGUCAUCACGCAGUACCAGCGGUGGAAUCGCGAUCGGACGGUUGAGUUCGCCAUGUCUCAGCCACCACCGAACACCGACACCAACAAUGACGGCAACGGCGGCAGAAACGCUGGUGGCUCCGGCGGCGCCGUCGUGCAGCGGGUAAUUCGUGAGGUGGGCGGUGGGACUAGCUACCCCGCGCUCACCAAGACCAACUACUCCGACUGGGCUGCGUUGAUGAAGGUGAAGCUCAAGGCGCGGGCGCUCUGGGCGGCGGUUGAUCCAGGCGGCGUCGAGCCGCAGGAGGACAUGAUGGUGAUCGACGUCCUGGCGAGUGCGGUCCCGGCGGAGAUGGUGUCAAGCAUCGCCAACAAGGAGACGGCGAAAGACGCGUGGGACACCAUCAAGAUCAUGCGCGUCGGCGAUGAGCGCGUGAGGAAGUCGACACCGCAGCACCUACGCCGGCAAUUUGACUUGGCGACGUCGCGCGAGGAUGAGAACAUCGAGGACUACUCCAUGCGGCUGAGCGGCAUGGUGGCGCAGCUGGCGACGCUCGGCGUGACGCUGGACGAACCCACGGUGUUGGGCAAGUUCCUCCGGAGCGUGCCAGCGCGGUUCAAGCAGAUCGUGGUGGCGAUCCAGACGCUGCUCGAUGUGUCCACGCUCACACUGGCGGAGGCGACGGGGCGAUUGAAGGCAGCCGAGGAGGAGCUGGAGGCGCCGCCGCCGUCGGUCCACCACAACGGCAAGCUAUACCUCACGGAGGAGGCUUGGGAGGCGAAGUGGAAGCAGCGAGAAGCAGAGAAGUCGUCAGCCGAUGGCGGGAGCGGCGGAUCCCGUCGUCGUGGCCGGAAAAGCGGACGCGGUAUAGGACGCGGAGGCGACGCGGGAGCAGGCUCGCCUUCUUCCUCUGGGCCGGGAAAUGGCAUCGGCAAGGUGGGCCGGUACCAGUGCCGGAAAUGCGGUAAGACGGGCCACUGGGCGCGUGACUGCAAGUCUAAGCCUAAGAGAGAGCAGGCUAAUGUAGCCUAGGAGGAGGAGGCCCUCCUGCUGUUGAGGUCCACGCCGCUCAUUCGACGCGGCACUUCCUUGCCGGCUAGAUCCACGACGCCACCGCCAUCGGCGCCUGCAGCCACCUCGGGCGCGUCAUCCCCAGCGUGCUCAUGCUCUCCACCUCCACAUGUUGCGGGUUCCAGCGCGCCCAAGGCGCUGGCGCAGCAGCUGUCGGUUGCGAGCUCCGGCAGGAGAGUAAAUCUGCGGGAGGAGAAGGUGUUUGUACAGCUCAGCGUCAAGGAGGGGCGCAACUCCAAGUCCUGGAUCUAUGACACCGGGGCCAUGAACCAUAUGACAGGGUCCCGGGCGGCAUUCGCAGAUCUAGACAUGGCGGUGUGCGGGUCGGUGCGAUUCGGCGACGACUCCGUGGCGGAAAUCGAGGGGCGCGGCACGGUCCUCUUCUUGUGCAAGAAUCGUGAGCACCACUCCUUCACUAGCGUCUACUACAUUCCGCAGCUCACUGCAAACAUCGUGAGCCUGGGCCAACUGGAGGAGGCUGACUACGACAUCCAUCUCCAGCGAAGCAUCAUGGAGAUUUGGGAGCUUGCUGGGAACCUGCUGGCAAGGAUCCCGCGGGCAGGCAACCGGCUGUACGUGCUCAAUGUAAAUGUGGCACAGCCGGUGUGCCUGGCAGCACGCAGCGAGGAGAGCGCCUGGCGGUGGCACGCCCGGCUUAGCCACAUCAACAUGGCGGCGCUGCGGAAGAUGGCGCGGGAGGAGAUGGUCCGCGGACUGCCCACGAUCUAGCAGGUGGAUCAACUCUGCGAAGCCUGCCUCACCGGCAAGCAGCGGCGCAUGACGUUCCCGGACCAGGCACAGUGGCGGGCGGAGCGUGCACUAGAGCUGGUCCACGGGGACUUGUGCGGACCCGUGACGCCGGUGACACCGAGCGGCAACACCUACUUCCCGCUACUCGUCGACGAUCGGAGCCGGUACAUGUGGCUGGUCCUGCUGCCGUCCAAGGACCGAGCAGUAGCUGCCAUCAAGGAGUUCCAGGCGCGCGCGGAGGCGGAGUCCGGCUGCAAACUGCUGGCGCUCCGGACGGAUCGUGGUGGCGAGUUCACGUCCAAGGAGUUCAUGGAGUACUGCACGGCUGACGGCGUGCACUGGCAGCUGACGGCGUCGUACUCUCCUCAACAGAACGGUGUCGUGGAGCGCCGGAAUGCCAUGGUGUUCGGCACGGCACGCAGCCGAAUGAAGGCGAAGGGGCUGCCGGCCUGGUUUUGUGGGGAGGCGGUGAACACCGCCGUUUACCUCCUGAACUGGGUGCCGAUGAAGGCGGUGGAAGGGAAGACCCCGUUCGAGGCAUGGUACGGGAAGAAGCCGGCGGUGCACCACUUGAAGACCUUUGGGUGCAUCGUGUAUGUCAAGAACACAGCACCGCACCUGAAGAAGAUGGAGGAUCGUGGCCGCAAGAUGAUCUUGAAAGUACGCCUAGAGGGGGGGUGAAUAGGCGAUCGUCGCUUAAAACCUGCACACAAAAAUCUCAGCCCGAUGCUGCCUGGCGGACUGUCCGCUGGGAGUGUCCGCUGGGCACUUCCAACGUCCGCUGGAAGGUCUCGGGAAUGGAAUGCAAUCUUUCGAAGAAUAAAACUUGUAUACCAAAAUCCACUUGAAUAGAAAGACUCUAAUACCUGUAAGGAACACUAAAUGUGGAAGCAAUCUAGCUCAAAGUAAGUACACAAGUAGAUCGGGUAAGAAUACUAGACAAAGGUAGGAAUAACAAAAACACUAGAAUGAAGUAAGAUAAUCAAGCACAAAAGACACGAGAUUUUCACCCGAGGUUCAAAUCCACUCAAGGAUUCUACGUCCCCGUUGAGGAGUCCACAAAGGACCGAGUUCCUCUCAACCCUUUCCUCUCUCAAGCAACCACAAAGGUCAAACUUGAGCUUUUCACUAGCAACAAGGGUAAUACAAACUUCUCAAUCCAACCACACCACGAGUUGGUUGUUCUUGAGCACCUCUAACCGUCUAGGAGCCAAGCUCCAAGAGUAAUAGAUGUGGAAAGCGAUGGAGAGAGCCAAGAGAUGCCCAAGAGAGGUGAAUCUCUUGGGAAGAACUUGAAUCUUGCUUGAAUCUUGCUCAAACCAAACCCUAGACCAAAGAUUUGGAGUGGGGAAGCUAGGGUUUCACUUUGGGGAGCUUUGGAGUGCUUAGAAUGUGCUUGAGAUGCGAUUUCACAGGUUAGGCAAGAGUGUUUAACGUUUGGGUGCGUGGGGGGUAUAAAUAGUGCCUCACAAAAACUAGCCGUUAGGCUAUUUUUAGUGACCUGGCGGACUGUCCGCCAGGAGCUCUCGGAUGUAGGCUGAUUUUAGAGCCCUGGCGGACUGUCCGCCAGGCCUGGCGGACUGUCCGCCAGGAGCUCUCGGAUUUGGAUAAUUUGCUACAAGGCUUACACUCCGGAUUUGAUUUAUUGGUGAUCUUCCACACACUUUCCACAUCUCCCUUAAUAGUACGGUAUACCUAAACUCAAGAAAACACAAAACAAAUAAAUUUCUCCGCUUGCAACUCUUUUCUUGAUCCGGUACCGUUCUCCAACUUUGAAUAAUCGUCAAGAUUCACUCCUUUUCUUUUCUCCUUUUUGGUUUCUUUGACCCCUGCUCAUUAUACUCAAUUGAAAUAUUAGAUACUCAUUUAGGUUAUUAUUAAUCACCAAAAUAGGUCAUUAGGCCUAGAUGCACUUUCAGAUCUUCGUCGGGUACGAGCGCGGGUCCAAGGCAUAUCGGGCCUACGAUCCGACGGCGAAGCGCGUGCAUGUGACGCGCAAUGUGGUGUUCGACGAGGCCGUGCAGUGGGACUGGCCAGGAGGCAGCGAGACCAGCACUGGUGCGGAUCACGACGGCAACGACACUUUCACUGUCCAGUACAGGGUGGUGCCGGGACAAGAAGGCGUGGAGGAUGCAGUACCUGUUACCCCAGACGGUGGGAUGGAGCCAGGAACACCACCAACGAUGCCUGCGGCGGCGGAGCCAACUUCCCCGCUUGUUCAAUUCGCCACGCCGCCCGCUGAGGUCGACAAGGAGCUGGACGCCGACCACGACAAGGAAGCGCCACUUCAUUUUUGCAUGGUGGACAACGUGAUCGGCACUGCCACACCACCUGGCUACGUCGUGCGUGAUCUGGGCGGCGGGCAACUCUUCACUAUGAGUGCGGGGGAGCCCGGAUCGCUCGCCCAGGCAGAGCAAGACCCAAGCUGGCGUCAAGCGAUGGAGGAGGAAUUACGCGCCAUCGAGGAGAACCGCACCUAGACGCUCACUGAACUGCCUCUUGGCCGGCGCGCCAUUAGGCUCGAGUGGGUGUUCAAGGUCAAGAAGGACGAGCAUGGUGCUGUGGUGCGGCACAAGGCGCGGCUCGUUGUCAAGGGCUAUGCACAGCGCCAAGGAAUCGACUACGACGAGGUGUCUGCGCGGGUGGCGCGCAUGGAGGUUGUGCGGCUACUCCUGGCAUUGGCGGCACAAGAAAGAUGGCAAGUGCACCAUAUGGACGUCAAGACGGCGUUCUUGAAUGGCGACCUCCAGGAGGAGGUGUAUGUGCAACAAGCGCCCGGUUUUGCUCAACCUGGGCAGGAACACAAGGUAUAUCGACUGCACAAAGCUCUUUACGGUUUACAUCAAGCUUCCCGUGCAUGGAAACAGAAACUGGAUGAACAAUCGGGUGUUCUGGGGUUCAUGAGAUGCCCAUCUGAGCAUGCCAUUUACUGCCGAGGAGGAGGUGCUAAGAGACUGGCUGUAGGAGUGUAUGUGGAUGAUCUCGUGAUCACAGGCACUAGCAGCAGCAGCAUCUAGAAGUUCAAGCCUGAGAUGACCAAGGUGUUCAAGAUGAGUGACCUUGGGUUGCUAUCUUAUUGCCUAGGGAUUGAGGUGAAACAGGAUGAAGCUGGAAUCAGUCUGUCUCAAGGGAGCUAUGCAGGGAAGAUUCUUGAGAAGUGUGGACUGGAGGAUUGCAAUCCAUGUAGAGUGCCAAUGGAUGCCAAGCUGAAAUUAAGCAAGUGAAGCAACAACCCUAGAGUAAAUGCCACUGAUUACAGAAGCUUAGUUGGAAGCUUAAGAUUCCUGGUUAACACUCGACCUGAUUUGGCCUUUUCAGUUGGGUAUGUGAGCAGGUUUAUGGAGGAGCCCCAUGAGGAGCAUCUUGCAGCUGUGAAGCAAAUCAUGGGAUACAUAGCUGGGACAAGAAAUUGGGGCCUGUUCUAUGCAAGGAGAAAUGGACGAAGUGAUCGGCUGCUGGGCUAUAGUGACAGUGAUGUGGCUGGCGAUGUGGAUGGCAGAAAGAGCACUUCUGGAAUCCUUUUCUUCCUUGGGAGGAGUCCAAACAGUCGGCAAUCAGCAAAGCAGAAGGUAGUGGCUUUAUCAAGUUGUGAAGCUGAGUAUAUAGCCGCCACCACUGGUGCCUGUCAAGCUGUCUGGUUGCCACAGUUGGUCGCUGAAAUCAGGAACUCAGCGGUAAGUAAACCAGUGCUAAGGGUGGACAACAAGUCUGCCAUCUCAUUGAUAAAAAACCCAAUGCAUCACGACCGGUCCAAGCAUAUAGAUACAAGAUUUCAUCUGAUCCGGGAGUAUGCAAACUUAGGGCAAAUUGAGGUGAGGUUCAUCAGCACUCAGGAGCAGCUAGGUGACAUUGUGACUAAACCACUCGGCAAGGUCAAGUUCCAGGAACUCUGCACCAAAAUUGGCCUUCAAUCUGUGUAAGUAGUAAAUGCACAAGUCUUAGGAGGAGAUUUGUCAAAUAAUCCUUGUGCUUAGUUUGCUUUGCUUCCUAGAUUAGGCGCAUGGCUCUCUCUGAUGGCUGUGCGCGUUAUGGAGCACUGACGAGCGCUUUGUUCGCUCGGGUGCGCAUCGUGCGCUGUGAUGGAGGUGUGUGGGAUGGCAUGCAUCGAGGAAGGUCGUGGCGCACAUGUCGGGGCUCACGUUCCCCGUUUCUUCAGCUGUAAUCUUUGCUUUAUAUAGCUAAUGAUCAUACAGAAAAGCUGCCAGUUGGUUGCAGCACAAACCAGAACGUGUCCACCUCGUGCUCGUGUGAGCUGUGUGUGUUCGCUCAGCUGCGCAGAGGCUCGCCGGAGAUCAUUCCUUUAUCUGUAUUCCGGCGAUCUCUGACAGCGCCAUGGUUUCGAUCGCCUUCGGGUGGACGGCGCUGCGGACGGCGCGUGGUCCGACAUCGGAGAGAGCAGCGGAGAAGCUAGCGACUGAACAAGAUAGCCAUGCUGCUCUACUAGCCUGUGCUAUAAGCGCAGGUGUAUCAGGGGAAAAGAAUAAACAGAGUUGCCUCUGGCAGUUCACCAAGCAUGUAUACCUGUGUGGCUUGCCCUGUAACAAAAACUCUAUGUACCUUGCUCUGUGCACAGAAAUAUGUAAUCAGGUUCGGACGGGUAAGAGUUGAAAUUGUGGACUGAUUUGCUGUCCAAACAAGCCUGCAAUGACUGAUGGCAGACUUGGGAUAGUAGCCGGAUAACAAGGGAAAGGGACAGCCUAAACACAUCCGGCUAUCCUCGCUCUCCCCCUUUUCCGACCAACACGAGACAACAAAUCAGCCUAAACUGAAGCUGGGCAACACACAUAUAGGGAGAUCUGAGCCACUUGCUCGCUACAGAAAGGGGUACAUAAUGGAGCAAGAUUAAAAGAGCACCGUGAAAGAUUUGUCUGCAGCAAUUCACUUCCAAAAGGGGAAACUGAUGGAGACGUUCAAAAGUCUCCACACAUCGUGUUUUUUCC